CAAAUUAAGGUGCACAACAAGUUGUUCGUGUCUUGUUUCCUUUGUUGGUACAGGAAGAGGGAAAUUGAAAAUGUAUUAAAGUUUGUUACAAGCUCCGGAACAUUUGCCGUAUUGCAAACAAAGUAUUAUUUGACAAGCUGUCUCCAUCCUACAGAACCAUGCUGAGCCUCUCCUAAGUUCGGUCUCCUCAAGUCUCUGUCUUCAAUUUUUAUUCAGUGCAAUUGCAAUGGACUCAACGGCUGUCUUACUGUCAUGCAUAGUAGCAAUCCAUUCACCAAAGUGCAUGCCAUAUUUCUAAGCGAAACCAGGCUGGAAAGGAAAAAAUUUCCCAGCUUUAACAGCUUCGUAUUCUAUCGCAAAGACAGAGAGUGUAGUGCAGUGGAGUCACCACUCUUAUUCUUUGUGAUCUCCCGCAAUGCGAAGUCUCCCUGGACCAUCUUUUGCACUACUCCCAUAUGAAGCUAUUGCCAUUAAAAUCACCUUUAAAGGAAACCCCUUCUCCUUAUUAAAGUCUACAAUCCCCCUCAGCAUCCACAAAUGCUAGUGGGAUCCCAGUUAAAAAAUUUCUUCUACAAUCCCAAUGAACUCUGAUGAACUAUCCUGCUCCUACUUACUGUCAUCAUUCUGGCAGUGUCAGCACCCUCGACCUUUCACUAAUUUCAUCCAAUUUCGCCAGUCGGCUUGCCUGGCAUGCACACCCCCACUCUUAUUGGUAGCAACCAUAUUCCUUUCUCCUUUACUUUCCUUCUUUCUGUCCUUCUCAGACUGUCAAGAAAAAGAUUCUUGACGGUUCUGAAAUUGUCUUUAAAAUAGCCAAAUUUUCAAACCGGGCCUCCUUCUCUUCCCUCUACAACUGCGAGGUAUUUUUCUCUCACCUUCAACAUGCUGCCUGUGAGAGCACCCAUAAAAUAACAGCAUCUGUCUGGAAGAAAAUCUUACUUCUUUUACUCUGCACAAUUAGAACUCAUUUCAAAAAGAUUGUAUGGCUCUAAAGGCCCAAUGGACCUAAGAGCUUAUCGCAGAGUAAAUGAAGUCAACCGACAAAUUAAAUACAUUGCAAAAAGUUCACAAUCAAUCGAUAUUGUUAUUCCUCACCAUCGACAUUCAAGAUGCCUUUCAUCCCCAAAAAGAGAUUUCUGCCAUAUUGUUUGAUCUAAAAAGUGCAUUUGACUCUGUUAAUCCUAGAGCACUCUUCUGAAAAUUUCUUAAACUUGGUUUUGGCACAAAAAUCAAUGAAUAUAUUAAAUUAUUUCUUUCUCCCUGUGAUUCCAGUAUCAAAUUUGGCUCUCAUCUUUCCAGUCCCUUCUCUAUGGAUCAUGGCACCCUACAAGGAGGCGUGCUCUCUCCUCUUCUCUUCAAUCUCAUGCUCAAUGACCUCCCUUCACUCCUCAAUGCUAUAUUUGCUGAUGAUAUUGCGAUUUGGUCUAUUUCAGACAAAGACGUUAAUUUGCAAUAUGCAAUCGACAAAGUCUGUGACUAUUGCACAGAGUGGGAUUUCUCCCUAUCCCCAGAGAAAUGCCAUCAUCUAUUCUUCUCCAAAAAAAAAACACCAUUCCUGCCCCCUUACACUCUUGAUCUAUGACCUCCCCAUUCCUAUUGCCUCUUACAAAUUUUCCGGAGUCACUCUUGACACCUCAUUUUCCUUCUUAUUUCACAUCAAACAAAUAACCUCAAAGACCAAAACCGCCUCCAACAUUCUUAAAUCUUGCACUGGCACUUCUAUUGGCCCUAACCCACCCUCACAGCUCCUUCUCUAUAUCUCCACUCUCUGCUUUACCUCCACUUACAGCCUUCCCUUGUGCAACCUGUCUAAUAAUAUACACAAACCUUUGGAAAUUGCCCACAAAAUGACCACUAAGAGAACUCUUGGACUUUUCCGCUUCACCCCCUCCUCUGAGGUUGAAUCUCAACAUAAACUUCUAUUUCUUAAAGCCCAACACCAGCUCCUUCAUCUUCUACAUAGAUCUACAUCUCAUCACACAAUCAUCCCUUGGCUCCUCUGCUGCUUUUACCAACUCGUUCAGGUAACAUCAGUGAAUUUUUUAAAAUUAAAACUCAAGAUUUUUCUUUGUUUAUAAAUCCCCAGUUUCUCCUAUCAAUUCUCCAGCACCCUCUUGGUGCUAGAUUCCCUCCCUUCCUUCAAAAUCCUCCUUACCCGACUUAGCCAUUCAGUCCCUUUGCCUGGACACACUAGCUAACCUUUCCCCAGACUCCAUUACCAUCUUCAUCAAUGGCUCACUUACUCGAAUUCAUAAUGGUGCAGCGUUUGUUGUCCCAAACUUUGGCUUUCAACAAAGUUUUGCCCUGCAAGAUAAAUGCACCAUUAUGCAGUUCGAACUCCUUGCUAUACGUGAUGCGCUUUUGUGGUUCUCUUCUUCAAACUUCUCCCACAGUAUUAUCCUCACUGAUUGCAAAUCUGGCCUACUGGCCCUUCAAGGGCUUCCAUCUUCUACUUUUCUUCAUUCACUUCUAUCUGAUAUUUAUAUCCUUAAGCAGACUUGCACUACCCUGGGUAAAUCAGUCAACUUUCAGUGGAUCCCCUCCCACAUCGACCUGGUAGGCAAUGAAAAGGCGGAUCGACUUGCUAAACUUCCUACAGGUAUUCCUAUUACUCUUCUGCCCUCUUCCUGUCAAAUAAAAAUAGUACUUAUCCUCUUUCUCUAAAUAAUGAAUUCAUUUCUUUUCUCCAAGAUAUUUCCACCAACCCUCAGCAUCCAGUCUCUUCAAUUACCCUUUCCAAAAAGGGCUACUUGCGCAUCCCCAAAAGAAAGUUGACAUCUGUCUGCGGCAGCUUAGAGCAGGUGCUAUUCUAACUCGUGAAAUUUUAUUUAAAUCUAAUAAAAUAUACUCCCUUCUUUGCCUGCUCUGCAACAUUCCUGACACCCUCGAACACCUGUUUUAUUGCUCUCUUUACUCCGUGCCCAGGAACAUUCUUCAAAAUCAUCUUCUUGCACUUUCUGGAUCUCUUUCUAUCUAUCUCGCACUCUAUUACACUUCCUCAUUCUCAAACUCUAAGGAGACUUCGUAAAGGACUGCAAUUUCAUUAACAUGCUAUAAAUUAUUGUUCCUUUCCACCACCAUCCAUCUCUCUCUAUCUUUCCCCCACCCUUUUCUGCAGCUUAACUCAUUUGAUUGCUUUCCUGCAUUUAAUAUUUGCCCACCAUUCCCUUCUUUCCUUUUCCUUUCUACUCCUACUCUACUUAUCUACAAGGCCACGAGUCCAUAGCACACUUUAUAGCUGGAAAGGAACAAAACUGUUUGACAAAUGCUUUACAACUGGGAAAUAUCCCUUCUAGAUACCGUCAACACCCUGCAUUCAGGACAGACAAAACUACAAAAAAAUGACUUCUUCAGAAGAUCAACACAGAAUCUCCAUAGAAGUUUUUAUGUGGAAAAAAUACUGGAUAAAGUUAGAAAACUACAUAAAGAAUAGUAUUGUGUGAAAAAUAAUGAUGACUUCUUUCAAAGAUCCACAAUGUUCAUAGAAGCUUUUAUGUAGAAAAAUACUGUAGCAGUAAGAAAGCAAGAAAGCUACAUAAAGAAUAUUAUGUGAAAAAUAAUCAAAGUUCCUGAUAAUUGUAUCGAAAGUGUCACAGAAGGCAUCAUACUCUGAUCUUAAAUAACCAUUGAUCAACAGAAAGCAAUCCAUCUUUAGUUUUAAGAAGUAUAAAAUGAGAUGAACAACAGUCAUGCAGAAAAAAAGAGGAAAAUUUUGCUAUAUGGCAGUGAACAGCAUGAAACAGCUGUCUUAUUGAGCCCAAAGAAUAGUUUCUUCGACAUGACUUAUCUAAUUCUUGCCAAAAAUUAUUAUUAUCAUGGGUCCAUGCGUAUAGUUGCUUCAUCUAUACAGCCCAACUAUGUCAGAGUAUCUGAGGAAUAGAAAAUAAGAAGAAAGUUCCUGGUUGAGCUUCAUAAAAGACACCUUGCCUCGAUCUUCAGGAAUCAUCAAUAAGUGCAAACAAUAUGUCUUUACCUUUGAUAAGUCUGAAAAGAGGAAAAGAGUCGAGAGGUGGAAGAAGAGGAAACUUUUGUUAAGUGGCCAGUAAAUAGUGCAAACUCGUCAUCUUUCAAGUUGAACCCAAAGAAUACAAGAAUGAAUGCUGUACCUACUACAACAAUCGUGGAGCCACUAUACUAAGAAAAGAAUUCGAAGAUGAUGUUACCACAUGCACCUUAUGCCAGAGUAUUCCAAGUAUG
RNAcentral lists this long non-coding RNA (4197 nucleotides) under Stegodyphus dumicola. RNAcentral describes it as "uncharacterized LOC118191003, transcript variant X2". Lineage: Eukaryota; Metazoa; Arthropoda; Arachnida; Araneae; Eresidae. The record is from RNAcentral.